GGGCAAACCUCGGGGUCCGGGUCUCACCGGCCCCCCCGGGGCGCGCGCCAGGUCCUGGUGCAGCUGCUUCAGCAGCCCCCGGCAGCGCAGGUUCUUGCGGGGCUCCCAGCUGUUGGCGCUGUCCGGGUAUCCCCUCCACUUCACCAGGUAGAACUCCUCACCCCCGACUCGUUUGUAGUCGCACAGAUAUUCCACCUCGAACUCGCCGAGGUUCCUCCGGGUGACUCCGAGCGCGGCGCAGCGCAGCCGCCCGGCCCGGCACAGCUCCCGCAGCUGCGCCCACGUCGACUUGCAGCAGACGGAGCAGCCUUUUAAAUUUUCCGCCAUCUUUCGCCUUUUUUUUGCCGCCUUCCUUUUCCCUCCUUCCGCCCCCCCGGCGCGCCUUUUUUUUUCUUUUUUUUUUUUUUUCCUCUUUCCUUUUUUUUUUAUUUCCGGUUCCUCCCGACGGGCAGCGCGCGGCGGGGGGGCGGCGCCCGCUCCUCUCCCCGCCUCCACGGCCGCGCGCUGAUUGGCUCUUUGGCCCGCCUGAUUUACAUCUUCCCCGUCGGCCCCCGCGGCGGGCGGACUUCCCCCCCAAAACGCCUUUUUCUCCCCGUUUUCCAAACUCCGCCGCCCCGCAGCGCUGCCCGUCGCGGGGGCCGCCCCUCCUUCCGCCGCCGCGCCGAUCAACCGCUGCUCUUUGCGCCCGCCGCAGCCUCUAUGAGUCCCACGGCGCUGCGCGGUGCAUUCUGGGAGCGCUCCGCUUCUCGUUGCCGCUCAUCGGCGCUCGCGAUUAAUCGUUUUUAUUCGUGCCGCCCAUGGAUUAACCGGGCUGGGAGGCCACAAACCCUCCUCACGCCAAUUAACGAUGCUUAAUCCCUCCCAGCGCUCAUGAACGGCCGUAAUUAAUCGCUCAUCCGCCGCCGUUUAUUGCGGGUGGAGGGAUGGGGAGGGGGGGGAGCGCAAAGCGCUGCGGCCGCCAGGGGGCGCUGCGGAGCCGUCAUUCGUCCCAUUCGUCCUCGUCGUCCUCAUCGCCGUCCUCUCCCUCGUCUGAGGAGUGAAUGACGCGGCUCCGCUUCUGCAUCACAUCCAUCAGGGCGCCCACCAGCCCUCCCGCUGCCCCCCCCGCAGCUCCGCCCUCGGGGGCUUCGGGGGUCUUGUUGAGCGUCACGCCCUGCCGGAUCUGAUCCAGGAGCGCCCCCCGCGCGGGGGCGCCGCCCACCACGGAGGGGCUCCCGCUGGGGGGCGGCAGAGGUGGGGGCGGAGGGGGCGGAGCCACGGAGGAGGCGGUGCCCGGAGGGGCGGGGCCUCGCGGAGGGGGCGGAGCCACGGGCCGAGGUGCGGAAGCCGGGCCGGGCCCCCCACGUGGAGGGGGCGGAGGACCCCCAGGCGGUGGGGGGGAGGCAGCGGCCCGCUGCGAGCCCGUGGGGGUCCGGAGGGAGGAGGAGGAGGGGGUGGGGUCCCCCCUCUGCCUUGGGGGCCUGCAAGGAGAGGCGUCAAUUGCAGCAUUAGUGGCGCGCGGGGGGGGGGGCGCUGCGGGUUCCGCUGUGGGUCUGCAGGAGGCAACGUCCCCACGGAGCUCUUGGGGGGUGGGGGGGGGCUCGGCGCGGCUCACCCUGGCGCCGCAUCUCCUCCUUGACGGCCUGCAGCCCCCCCUGCCCCUCGAUGAAGUCGUAGAUGAGGCGCGAGGUCUCGGCGUCCGCCAGCUGCGCCUCGCUGAUGCCAGCGCGUGCAAACAGCGCCCGCAGGUCCGGGUCCAGCGCUGCAGUCUGCACCCACACGGCCCCCUUAGGACCCCUGGGCUCCAACGUGAGGGGUUCCUCACAUCCCCCCCACCCCACACACACACAGCUCAUACGUACAUCAAAGCCGUUGGCGGGAUCCCAGCCGAUGUGGCCGACGUGCCUGGGGGACGGAGGGGGCUCAGGGGGUGCCUCACAUCUCCCCCAGCCCCAUGUGCC
Molecule: long non-coding RNA, 1940 nt
Filed under: Gallus gallus (chicken)
Lineage: Eukaryota; Metazoa; Chordata; Aves; Galliformes; Phasianidae
Source: RNAcentral